RNAcentral lists this ribosomal RNA (460 nucleotides) under uncultured bacterium. RNAcentral describes it as "partial 16S ribosomal RNA". It matches the Rfam family "Bacterial small subunit ribosomal RNA", at positions 338 to 795 of the family's 1533-position model. The record is from RNAcentral.
CCUACGGGUGGCUGCAGUGAGGAAUCUUGGUCAAUGGACGAGAGUCUGAACCAGCCAAGUAGCGUGAAGGAUGACUGCUCUCUGGGCUGUAAACUUCUUUUAUAUGGGAAUACGAUGUUCAACGUGUGUGAUUUUGUAUGUACCAUAUGCAUAAGGAUCGUCUAACUCCGUUCCAGCAGCCGCGGUAAUACGGAGGAUCCGAGCGUUACCCGGAUUUGUUGGGUUUAACGGGAGCGUAGGUGGAUUGUUAAGUCAGUUGUGAAAGUGUUCGGCUCAACCGUAAAAUUGCAGUUGAAACUGGCAGACUUGAGUACAGAAGAGGUGAGCGGAAUUCGAGGUGUAGCGGUGAAAUGCUUAGAGAUAACGAAGAACUCCAGUGGCGAAGGCAGCUCACUGGACUGCAACUGACACUGAGGCUCGAAAGUAUGGGUAUCAAACAGGAUUAGAUACCCGAGUAGUC